UGUUGUUAAGGAACUCGGCAAAUUGACCCCGUAACUUCGGGAGAAGGGGUGCUCUAGAGAUAGAGCCGCAGAGAAUCGGCCCAAGCAACUGUUUACCAAAAACACAGGUUUGUGCUAAAUCGAAAGAUGACGUAUACGAGCUGACGCCUGCCCGGUGCUGGAAGGUUAAGAGGAGAUGUGCAAGCAUUGAAUCGAAGCCCCAGUGAACGGCGGCCGUAACUAUAACGGUCCUAAGGUAGCGAAAUUCCUUGUCAGGUAAGUUCUGACCCGCAUGAAAGGCGUAAUGAUUUGGGCACUGUCUCGACAGCCCGCCCGGCGAAAUUGUAGUACCGGUGAAGAUGCCGGUUACCCGCGACAAGACGGAAAGACCCCAUGGAGCUUUACUGUAGCCUAAUAUUGGGUUUCGAUGUUGCAUGCACAGGAUAGAUGGGACACUGGGAAGCAAGUGCUUUGGCAUUUGUGGAGUGGCCGUUGGGAUACCAUCCUUGCGAUAUUGGAAUUCUAACCUGCGCCUUUGAAUCAAGGCGGGGGACAUUGUUAGGUGGGCAGUUUGACUGGGGCGGUCGCCUCCUAAAGAGUAACGGAGGCGUUCAAAGGUUCGCUCAGCUUGAACGGAAAUCAAGCAAAAGAGUGCAAACGCAGAAGCGAGCCUAACUGCGAGACUGACGGGUCGAGCAGUAACGAAAGUUGGAGUUAGUGAUCCGGUGGUAUGUGAGUGGAAAUGCCAUCGCUCAACGGAUAAAAGUUACCCUGGGGAUAACAGGCUGAUCUCCCCCAAGAGUCCACAUCGACGGGGAGGUUUGGCACCUGAUGUCGGCUCAUCGCAUCCUGGGGCUGUAUUCGGUCCCAAGGGUUUGGCUGUUCGCCAAUUAAAGCGGUACGCGAGCUGGGUUCAGAACGUCGUGAGACAGUUCGGUCCCUAUCUGUCGUGGGCGCAGGAUAUUUGAUGGGAGCUGUUCCUAGUACGAGAGGACCGGAGCGGACGUACCUCUGGCGCACCAGUUGUUCUGCCAAGGGCAUAGCUGGGCAACUAUGUACGGAUCGGAUAAACGCUGAAAGCAUCUAAGCGUGAAGCCGACCCAAAGGUAAGAUAUCCCAUUGUUUCAAACAAGUAAGACCCCUUGAAGACUACAAGGUUGAUAGGCAUGAUGUGUAAGUGGAGUGAUCCAUUCAGCAAGUAUGUACUAAUAGGUCGAGGGCUUGACC
RNAcentral lists this ribosomal RNA (1206 nucleotides) under metagenome. Its description in RNAcentral is "bacterial LSU rRNA". It matches the Rfam family "Bacterial large subunit ribosomal RNA", at positions 1700 to 2925 of the family's 2925-position model. The record is from RNAcentral.